This 468-nucleotide ribosomal RNA is filed under the name uncultured bacterium. RNAcentral describes it as "partial 16S ribosomal RNA". It matches the Rfam family "Bacterial small subunit ribosomal RNA", at positions 28 to 507 of the family's 1533-position model. The record is from RNAcentral.
GACGAACGCUGGCGGCGUGCUUAACACAUGCUAGUCGAACGGAAAGGCCCUGCUUUUGUGGGGUGCUCGAGUGGCGAACGGGUGUGUAACACGUGAGUAACCUGCCCUUGACUUUGGGAUAACUUCAGGAAACUGGGGCUAAUACCGGAUAGGAGCUCCUGCUGCAUGGUGGGUGUUGGAAAGUUUCGGCGGUUGGUGAUGGACUCGCGGCUUAUCAUCUUGUUGGUGGGGUAGUGGAUUAGCAAGGCUUUGACGGGUAGCCGGCCUGAGAAGGUGUCCGGCCACUUUGGGACUGAGAUACGGACCACACUAAUACGGGGAGCAGCAGUGAGGAAUAUUGCACGAUGGCCGGAAGCCUGAAGCAGCAACGCCGCGUGAGGGAGGACGUCAUUCGGGUAGUAGACCACUUUCGCAAGUGACGAAGCGUAAGUGACGGUAAUGAGUAAAGAGGCACCGGCUAACUACGUG